GUGCCAGCCGCCGCGGUAAUACGUAGGUGGCAAGCGUUGUCCGGAAUUACUGGGCGUAAAGGGUGCGCAGGCGGACAUUUAAGUGAGAUGUGAAAGACCCGGGCUUAACUUGGGCAGUGCAUUUCAAACUGGAUGUCUGGAGUGCAGGAGAGGAGAACGGAAUUCCUAGUGUAGCGGUGAAAUGAGUAGAGAUUAGGAAUAAAACCAGUGACGAAGGCGGUUCUCUGGACUGUA
RNAcentral lists this ribosomal RNA (234 nucleotides) under uncultured bacterium. RNAcentral's name for it is "partial 16S rRNA". It matches the Rfam family "Bacterial small subunit ribosomal RNA", at positions 505 to 738 of the family's 1533-position model. The record is from RNAcentral.